This 509-nucleotide ribosomal RNA is filed under the name uncultured bacterium. Its description in RNAcentral is "bacterial SSU rRNA". It matches the Rfam family "Bacterial small subunit ribosomal RNA", at positions 21 to 518 of the family's 1533-position model. The record is from RNAcentral.
GGUUCAGGAUGAACGCUAGCUACAGGCUUAACACAUGCAAGUCGAGGGGCAGCAUGUUGGUUGCUUGCAACCAAUGAUGGCGACCGGCGCACGGGUGAGUAACGCGUAUCCAACCCUCCCUAUAGUAGAGGAUAGCCCGGCGAAAGUCGGAUUAAUACUCUAUGUUUUCCAAUGCAGACAUCUAAAAUGGAACAAAGGUUCACCGCUAUAGGAUGGGGAUGCGUCUGAUUAGAUAGUCGGCGGGGUAACGGCCCACCGAGUCGACGAUCAGUAGGGGUUCUGAGAGGAAGGUCCCCCACAUUGGAACUGAGACACGGUCCAAACUCCUACGGGAGGCAGCAGUGAGGAAUAUUGGUCAAUGGGCGAGAGCCUGAACCAGCCAAGUAAGCGUGCGGGAUGACGGCCCUAUGGGUUGUAAACUGCUUUUAUACAGGGAUAAAGUGACGUACGUGUACGUUAUUGUAGGUACUGUAUGAAUAAGGACCGGCUAAUUCCGUGCCAGCCGCGGC